Molecule: ribosomal RNA, 253 nt
Filed under: uncultured bacterium
Lineage: Bacteria
Description: partial 16S ribosomal RNA
Rfam family: Bacterial small subunit ribosomal RNA
Source: RNAcentral
UACGUAGGGGGCAAGCGUUGUCCGGAUUUAUUGGGCGUAAAGAGCGUGUAGGCGGUUUGGUAGGUCCGCUGUGAAAACUCGAGGCUCAACCUCGAGACGCCGGUGGAAACCAUCAGGCUAGAGUCCGGAAGAGGAGUGUGGAAUUCCCGGUGUAGCGGUGAAAUGCGCAGAUAUCGGGAAGAACACCCGUGGCGAAGGCGGCACUCUGGGACGGUACUGACGCUGAGACGCGAAAGCGUGGGGAGCGAACAGG